CGCCGCGGUAAUACCGAGGGUACAAGCGUUAAUCGGAAUUACUGGGCGUAAAGCGCGCGUAGGCGGUUAAGUAAGUUGGAUGUGAAAGCCCUGGGCUCAACCUAGGAACUGCAUUCAAAACUAUUUAACUAGAGUACGAGAGAGGAGAGUAGAAUUUCUGGUGUAGCGGUGAAAUGCGUAGAUAUCAGAAGGAAUACCAACGGCGAAGGCAGCUCUCUGGAUCGUCACUGACGCUAAGGUGCGAAAGCGUGGGUAGCAAACAGGAUUAGAUACCCUGGUAGUCCACGCCGUAAACGAUGAGAACUAGCCGUUGGGGAGAAUUAACUCUCCAGUGGCACAGCUAACGCAUUAAGUUCUCCGCCUGGGGACUACGGCCGCAAGGCUAAAACUCAAAUGAAUUGACGGGGGCCCGCACAAGCGGUGGAUCAUGUGGUUUAAUUCGAUGCAACGCGAAGAACCUUACCUACCCUUGAAAUCCAGCGAAGUUCCUAGAGAUAGGAAUGUGCCUUCGGGAACGCUGUGACAGGUGUUGCAUGGCUGUCGUCAGCUCGUGUCGUGAGAUGUAUGGUUAAGUCCAGUAACGAGCGCAACCCCUAUCCUUAUUUGCCAGCGCAUAAUGGCGGGAACUAUAAGGAGACUGCCGGUCAUAAACCGGAGGAAGGCGGGGACGACGUCAAGUCAUCAUGGCCCUUAUGGGUAGGGCUACACACGUGAUACAAUGGGUGGUACAGAGGGUCGCCAAAGCGCGAGCUGGAGCCAAACCCUUAAAACCAUUCUUAGUCCGGAUUGGAGUCUGCAACUCGACUCCAUGAAGUUGGAAUCGCUAGUAAUCGCGAAUCAGAAUGUCGCGGUGAAUACGUUCUCGGGCCUUGUACACACCGCCCG
This 885-nucleotide ribosomal RNA is filed under the name uncultured bacterium. Its description in RNAcentral is "bacterial SSU rRNA". It matches the Rfam family "Bacterial small subunit ribosomal RNA", at positions 513 to 1396 of the family's 1533-position model. The record is from RNAcentral.